This 1468-nucleotide ribosomal RNA is filed under the name uncultured Bordetella sp. RNAcentral describes it as "partial 16S-23S ribosomal RNA intergenic spacer". It matches the Rfam family "Bacterial small subunit ribosomal RNA". Lineage: Bacteria; Pseudomonadati; Pseudomonadota; Betaproteobacteria; Burkholderiales; Alcaligenaceae. The record is from RNAcentral.
AGUUCGAUCAUGGCUCAGAUUGAACGCUGGCGGGAUGCAUGCAAGUCGAACGGCAGCACGGACUUCGGUCUGGUGGCGAGUGGCGAACGGGUGAGUAUCGGGGCGUGCCUAGUAGCCAGGGAUAACUACGCGAAAGCGUAGCUAAUACCGCAUACGCCCUUCGGGGAAAGCGGGGACCUUCGGGCCUCGCACUAUUGGAAACGGCCGAUAUCGGAUUAGCUAGUUGGUGGGGUAACGGCUCACCAAGGCGACGAUCCGUAGCUGGUUUGAAGGGACGACCAGCCACGCAGGACUGAGACACGGCCCAGACUCCUACGGGAGAGCAGCAGUGGGAAUUUUGGACAAUGGGGAAACCUGAUCCAGCCAUCCCGCGUGCGCGAUGAAGGCCUUCGGGUUGUAAAGCACUUUUGGCAGGAAGAAACGGCACGGGAUAUUACCCCGUGCAACUGACAGCUACCUGCAGAAUAAGCACCGGCUAACUACGUGCCAGCAGCCGCGGUAAUACGUAGGAGUGCAAGCGUUAAUCGGAAUUACUGGGCGUAAAGCUGACACGCAGGCGGUUCGGAAGAAAGAUGUGAAAUCCCAGAGCUUAACUUUGGAACUGCAUUUUUAACUACCGAGCUAGAGUGUGUCAGAGGGAGGUGGAAUUCCGCGUGUAGCAGUGAAAUGCGUAGAUAUGCGGAGGAACACCGUGAAAACAGCCUCCUCAGGAUAACACUGACGCUCAUGCACGAAAGCGUGAGGCAAACAGGAUUAGAUACCCUGGUAGUCCGCCCUAAACGAUGUCAACUAGCUGUUGGGGCCUUCAGGCCUUGGUGGCCCCAGCUAACGCGUGAAGUUGACCGCCGCAAGCAAAGUACGGUCGCAAGAUUAAAACUCAAAGGAAUUGACGGGGACCCGCACAAGCAGUGGAUGGUACAUGGUUGGCAUUCAAUUUGCAACGCGAAAAACCUUACCUACCCUUGACAUGUCUGGAAUCCCGAAGAGAUUUGGGAGUGCUCGCAAGAGAACCGGAACACAGGUGCUGCAUAGCUGCUUCGUCAGCUCGUGUCGUGAGAUGUUGGGUUAAGUCCGCAACGACUCAUGUCGUGGAUUGCUACGAAAGGAGCACUCUAAUGAGACUGCCGGUGACAAACCGGAGGAAGGUGGGGAUGACGUCAAGUCCUCAUGGCCCUUAUGGGUAGGGCUUCACACGUCAUACAAUGGUCAGGGACAGAGGGUCGCCAACCCGCGAGGAGCCAAUCCCAGAAACCCGAUCGUAGUCGGAGUCGCAGUCUGCAACUCGACUGCGUGAAGUCAGAAUCGCUAGUAAUCGCGGAUCAGCAUGUCGCGGUGAAUACGUUCCAGUCUUGCAUACACACCGCCCGUCACACCAUGGGAGUGGGUUUUACCAGUGGUCUCUUCUAACCGUAAGGAGGGCGAUUACCACGUGGGAUUCAUGACUGGGGUGAAGUCGUAACAAAGGUAG